RNAcentral lists this ribosomal RNA (409 nucleotides) under uncultured prokaryote. RNAcentral's name for it is "bacterial SSU rRNA". It matches the Rfam family "Bacterial small subunit ribosomal RNA", at positions 355 to 776 of the family's 1533-position model. The record is from RNAcentral. RNAcentral also lists the same sequence under 1 other name.
UGGGUAAUCUUCCGCAAUGGGCGAAAGCCUGACGCAGCAACGCCGCGUGAGGGAUGACGGCCUUCGGGUUGUAAACCUCUUUCAGCAGGGAAGAAGCGAAAGUGACGGUACCUGCAGAAGAAGCACCGGCUAACUACGUGCCAGCAGCCGCGGUAAUACGUAGGGUGCAAGCGUUGUCCGGAUUUAUUGGGCCUAAAGAGCUCGUAGGCGGUUAGUCACGUCGGAUGUGAAAACCCGGAGCUUAACUCCGGGCCUGCAUUCGAUACGGGCUGACUAGAGUGUUGUAGGGGAGACUGGAACUCCUGGUGUAGCGGUGAAAUGCGCAGAUAUCAGGAAGAACACCGGUGGCGAAGGCGGGUCUCUGGGCAACUACUGACGCUGAGGAGCGAAAGCGUGGGGAGCAAACAGG